RNAcentral lists this ribosomal RNA (373 nucleotides) under uncultured organism. RNAcentral describes it as "partial 16S ribosomal RNA". It matches the Rfam family "Bacterial small subunit ribosomal RNA", at positions 527 to 896 of the family's 1533-position model. The record is from RNAcentral.
GUAGGUGGCAAGCGUUGUCCGAAAUUAUUGGGCGUAAAGCGCGCGCAGGCGGUUCUUUAAGUCUGAUGUGAAAGCCCACGGCUCAACCGUGGAGGGUCAUUGGAAACUGGAGAACUUGAGUACAGAAGAGGAAAGCGGAAUUCCACGUGUAGCGGUGAAAUGCGUAGAGAUGUGGAGGAACACCAGUGGCGAAGGCGGCUUUCUGGUCUGUAACUGACGCUGAGGCGCGAAAGCGUGGGGAGCAAACAGGAUUAGAUACCCUGGUAGUCCACGCCGUAAACGAUGAGUGCUAAGUGUUAGGGGGGUUUCCGCCCCCCUUAGUGCUGCAGCUAACGCAUUAAGCACUCCGCCUGGGAGUACGGCCGCAAGGCUG